This 437-nucleotide ribosomal RNA is filed under the name uncultured Fibrobacter sp. RNAcentral describes it as "partial 16S ribosomal RNA". It matches the Rfam family "Bacterial small subunit ribosomal RNA", at positions 341 to 792 of the family's 1533-position model. Lineage: Bacteria; Pseudomonadati; Fibrobacterota; Fibrobacteria; Fibrobacterales; Fibrobacteraceae. The record is from RNAcentral.
ACGGGAGGCAGCAGUGGGGAAUAUUGGGCAAUGGGCGCAAGCCUGACCCAGCAACGCCGCGUGAAGGAAGAAGGCUUUCGGGUUGUAAACUUCUUUUACCAGGGACGAAGGACGUGACGGUACCUGGAGAAAAAGCCACGGCUAACUACGUGCCAGCAGCCGCGGUAAUACGAGGGGUGCAAGCGUUGUUCGGAAUCACUGGGCGUAAAGGGAGCGCAGGCGGAGAUGCAAGCAGUCUGUACAAUACCGGGGCCCAACCCCGGACCUGCAGACUGGACUGUUUCUCUUGGAUAGUUCAGGGGCAAGCGGAAUUCCUGGUGUAGCGGUGGAAUGCGUAGAGAUCAGGAAGAACACCGAUGGCGAAGGCAGCUUGCUGGGGACUUAUCGACGCUCAUGCUCGAAAGUGCGGGUAGCAAACAGGAUUAGAUACCCUGGUA